GAGGAAACCAUCGAUGAAUAUAUUGACAGUCCAAAGAGGACAAGCGCUUUGGGACAACAUGACGACAAUUAAUGAGGUUGGAUCAAUAGGAAAAACUAAAAAGCCAUCCGAUAGUGCAUUCAAGCAACAGCGAUUACCAGCGUGGCAGCCGAUCCUUACAGCUGGCACCGUUUUGCCAACCUUCUUUAUAAUUGGCAUAGCAUUUAUCCCAGUUGGCAUAGGAUUAUUAUACUUUUCCGAUGAAGUGAAGGAACACACUAUAGAUUACACAAAUUGCGAGUCCAUAAAUAAGACUCGUGAUACCGGUAAGAAGUGUGCCGAAGUCAUCGUUGAGAAUCCUGGUUUAGACUGUUAUUGUAAAAUAGAUUUUACGUUGCCCAUUGACUUUGCUGGAAAGGUGUACAUGUAUUAUGGAUUAACUAACUUUUAUCAAAAUCAUCGGCGUUAUGUUAAAUCUCGUGAUGAUAAUCAGCUUUUGGGAAAAUUAAGCGAGAUAGUCUCAAGUGAUUGCGAGCCAUUUGCGUACAGAGAACCAAACGAUACAAAGAUCCCAAUAGUGCCUUGCGGUGCAAUCGCCAAUUCGCUUUUCAGUGAUGUUCUUACAUUAUAUUCGGUAAAACACGGCGAGUAUGUAUCGCUGCUUAACACAGGCAUUGCUUGGCCAUCUGAUAAGAAUAUUAAAUUUCGUAAUCCGGAAGGUGAUUUGGCAGAGGCAUUUAAAAAUUUUGAAAAGCCAAAGAAUUGGAAUAAACGCAUCUAUGAAUUAGAUCCCGAUAACAAUGAAAAUAAUGGCUUCCAAAACGAAGACUUAAUAGUGUGGAUGAGAACUGCUGCGUUGCCAACAUUCAGAAAGCUUUAUCGAAGAAUCGAUCAUAUGAAGGAGGGGUUUACCGAUGGAUUGCUUGCUGGAAACUACACUCUUCAUGUUAAUUAUUCUUAUCCAGUAUCUGCCUUCGAAGGGACAAAAAGAAUGAUUCUCAGUACCACGUCUCUCUUAGGUGGAAAGAAUCCAUUCCUUGGAAUCGCCUACAUAGUUGUAGGAUGUGUUUGUUUAGUCUUGGGUAUAGCACUGUUGGUUGUACAUGUCAAAUGUUCCAAGAGUACAAACGAGAUGAUCAACGUAUCAUGCAAUACGCCAUACCAGUGAGCUGGAGCUACAGGUUCAUCAAAUGUCUAUUUCGAACCAAGUGAACCUUCAGCGACUUUGGUUGUGCAUUUAGAGAAUAGAUCGUAAAAGUAUUUUACCAAUAUUGAAAGUUGUACAGUUACAAGCUGAUACAGGUUAGCAUUUGGAAGCCCAGCAAUCAUAUACAUAAAGUAUUUUUUAUAAACAAAACCACACAAUACAGAAUGUCUGCCCCCAUCCGAUACGUGAUACAGCGAUUACAUAUUUUCCAAGCAAAGUGUAAUAUAGAGCAUCUGGGAUGUCCGACCGUUAUAAAAUAAAAUCUAAUAUUAAAUAG
RNAcentral lists this unclassified non-coding RNA (1463 nucleotides) under Orussus abietinus. Its description in RNAcentral is "cell cycle control protein 50A, transcript variant X4". Lineage: Eukaryota; Metazoa; Arthropoda; Insecta; Hymenoptera; Orussidae. The record is from RNAcentral.